This 659-nucleotide ribosomal RNA is filed under the name Savius diagonalis. RNAcentral's name for it is "partial large subunit ribosomal RNA". Lineage: Eukaryota; Metazoa; Arthropoda; Insecta; Hemiptera; Coreidae. The record is from RNAcentral.
AUAAAUUAAUAUAUUAUUUAUUUUUAUUAUUUUUAUUAUUUUUAACAGAAAUAACUUUUUUUUUAGUAAUUUUUAUUGAAUUAAUUUUUUUUAUAAUUAUAGUUUAUAGUACUGUGAAGGAAUUAUUAAUUAAUUUUUUAUAAGCAAAUUUAAUUUAUUGUACCUUUUGUAUCAGGGUUUAUUAAUUUUAAUAUAAUUAUUUUAUAUUUCCCGAAAUUAAAAGAGAUAUAUUAUUAUGGAGUUUUACGUUUUAUAGUAAUUUUUAAUUUUAAUAUAGGAGUUAUAUGCUAUUCAUUUUUAAAUAUCUGGUUUUUUAAUAAAUUAAUUUAAUUAAGACAAUGUUAAGUUAUUUUAUAAUUUUAUUUUUUUUAAUUUGCAUUGUUAAUAAUAUAGGGGAUAAGCUCUUUAUUAAUUUUAUAACCUUUAUAAUAUUUCAUGAUUUGUAGGCUUUAUAACAGCCAUCUUUUAUUUCGUUAUAGUUAAUUUUGUAAUUUUAUUUAUUUAUUUUGGUUUAAUUUUUUAUUAAAAUUUUUUAUUUAAUUUUAUUUUAUAUGUAACAAUGAUAGAAUUAGUAGUUUUGAAAAUUUAAAUUUAGUAAUUCGGCAAUUUUAGUUUCCGCCUGUUUAACAAAAACAUGUCCUGUAGAUUUAUAAUUUCAG